RNAcentral lists this small RNA (28 nucleotides) under Bombyx mori (domestic silkworm). RNAcentral's name for it is "ovarian small RNA-12134". Lineage: Eukaryota; Metazoa; Arthropoda; Insecta; Lepidoptera; Bombycidae. The record is from RNAcentral.
AGCUAUAUAAUGGCUGCUUGGAGUCGGG